RNAcentral lists this ribosomal RNA (464 nucleotides) under uncultured bacterium. RNAcentral describes it as "partial 16S ribosomal RNA". It matches the Rfam family "Bacterial small subunit ribosomal RNA", at positions 29 to 506 of the family's 1533-position model. The record is from RNAcentral.
ACGAACGCUGGCGGCGCGCCUCACACAUGCAAGUCGCACGAGCGAGAGGAGGUUUACUUUCUCAAGCGAGUGGCGAACGGGUGAGUAACGCGUGAGGAACCUGCCUCAAAGAGGGGGACAACAGUUGGAAACGACUGCUAAUACCGCAUAAGCCCACGACCCGGCAUCGGGUAGAGGGAAAAGGAGCAAUCCGCUUUGAGAUGGCCUCGCGUCCGAUUAGCUAGUUGGUGAGGUAAUGGCCCACCAAGGCGACGAUCGGUAGCCGGACUGAGAGGUUGAACGGCCACAUUGGGACUGAGACACGGCCCAGACUCCUACGGGAGGCAGCAGUGGGGAAUAUUGCACAAUGGGGGAAACCCUGAUGCAGCGACGCCGCGUGGAGGAAGAAGGUCUUCGGAUUGUAAACUCCUGUUGUUGAGGAAGAUAAUGACGGUACUCAACAAGGAAGGGACGGCUAACUACGU